GUUGGGUACGGGGACAUGUAUCCCGUGACUCCGUGGGGCAAGUUAGUGGGAUCGAUCUGCGCCAUUUCCGGUGUGCUUACAAUUGCACUUCCGGUUCCCGUUAUUGUUUCAAAU
Nematostella vectensis (starlet sea anemone) is the source of this 114-nucleotide non-coding RNA. The record is from Rfam. NCBI's taxonomy places the organism in Eukaryota, Metazoa, Cnidaria, Anthozoa, Actiniaria, Edwardsiidae.